RNAcentral lists this ribosomal RNA (265 nucleotides) under uncultured bacterium. Its description in RNAcentral is "partial 16S ribosomal RNA". It matches the Rfam family "Bacterial small subunit ribosomal RNA", at positions 1227 to 1500 of the family's 1533-position model. The record is from RNAcentral.
ACAAUGGCAGGUACAGAGGGGUGCUACCGGGUGACCGGAUGCCGAUCUCGAAAACCUGUCCCAGUUCGGACUGGAGUCUGCAACCCGACUCCACGAAGUUGGAUUCGCUAGUAAUCGCGCAUCAGCCAUGGCGCGGUGAAUACGUUCCCGGGCCUUGUACACACCGCCCGUCAAGCCAUGGGAGCCGGGGGCGCCUGAAGUCCGGGACCGCGAGGACCGGCCUAAGGCGAAACUGGUGACUGGGGCUAAGUCGUAACAAGGUACC